Molecule: long non-coding RNA, 422 nt
Filed under: Pan troglodytes (chimpanzee)
Lineage: Eukaryota; Metazoa; Chordata; Mammalia; Primates; Hominidae
Description: long non-coding RNA NONPTRT016639
Source: RNAcentral
UAAGUAAAAUGAAUGACGACAAUAAUACAAGGGAUGGGAAAGAGGAAUUAAGGUUAUUUUACUACUAUAAGGUACUCUACCCAUAAAGCAUUAUAUUUUAUUUUAAUGUGAGCUUGGAUUAGUUGUAAAUGUAUAUUGCAAACACUAGGGCAAACACACACACACAAAAGUGAAAAAAAGAGAUUGUUGGUAGAAAUGCGAAAUGGUACAGCCGCUCUGUUAGAUUGUUUGGCGUUUCUUACUAAACUAAAUGUUCUUCCAUAGGAUCAAUCGACCACACACUUUGGUGUUUACUCAAAGGAGUUUUCCACACAAAAACCUGCACAUGGAUGUUUAUAGCAGCUUUAUUCAUAAUUGCCAGAACUUGGAAGAAACCAAGAUGCCUUUCAGUAGAUGAAUGGAUAAAUGGUGGAAUAUCCAGA